This 242-nucleotide ribosomal RNA is filed under the name uncultured bacterium. RNAcentral's name for it is "partial 16S ribosomal RNA". It matches the Rfam family "Bacterial small subunit ribosomal RNA", at positions 65 to 334 of the family's 1533-position model. The record is from RNAcentral.
CACGAAUGGUAACAUUAGUGGCGCACGGGUGAGUAACACGUGGGAAUCUACCCUGGGGAUUGGGAUAACUACUGGAAACGGUGGCUAAUACCAGAUAUACUAGAGAUAGGAAAGGAGCAAUCCGCCUUAGGAUGAGCCCCGCGUUUGAUUAGCUAGUUGGUGGGGUAAGAGCCUACCAAGGCGAUGAUCAAUAGCUGUUCUGAGAGGAAGAUCAGCCACACUGGGACUGAGACACGGCCCAG